Molecule: ribosomal RNA, 497 nt
Filed under: uncultured bacterium
Lineage: Bacteria
Description: partial 16S ribosomal RNA
Rfam family: Bacterial small subunit ribosomal RNA
Source: RNAcentral
GAUGAACGCUGGCGGCGUGCCUAAUACAUGCAAGUCGAGCGAACAGAUAAGGAGCUUGCUCCUUUGACGUUAGCGGCGGACGGGUGAGUAACACGUGGGUAACCUACCUAUAAGACUGGGAUAACUUCGGGAAACCGGAGCUAAUACCGGAUAACAUUUGGAACCGCAUGGUUCUAAAGUGAAAGAUGGUUUUGCUAUCACUUAUAGAUGGACCCGCGCCGUAUUAGCUAGUUGGUAAGGUAACGGCUUACCAAGGCGACGAUACGUAGCCGACCUGAGAGGGUGAUCGGCCACACUGGCACUGAGACACGGUCCAGACUCCUACGGGAGGCAGCAGUAGGGAAUCUUCCGCAAUAGGCGAGAGCCUGACGGUGCAACGCCGCGUGAGUGAUGAAGGGUUUCGGCUCGUAAAGCUCUGUUAUUAGGGAAGAACAAAUGUGUAAGUAACUGUGCACGUCUUGACGGUACCUAAUCAGAAAGCCACGGCUAACUACGUG